GACGAACGCUGGCGGCGUGCUUUACACAUGCAAGUCGAACGGUGAAGGUGGAGCUUGCUCCGCCGGAUCAGUGGCGAACGGGUGAGUAACACGUGGGCAACCUGCCCCUAACUUUGGGAUAACUACUCGAAAGAGUAGCUAAUACCGGAUAUGAAGUCUGUAGGCAUCUAUGGAUUUGGAAAGUUUUUCGGUUAGGGAUGGGCCCGCGGCCUAUCAGCUUGUUGGUGGGGUAGUGGCUCACCAAGGCGACGACGGGUAGCCGGCCUGAGAGGGCGACCGGCCACACUGGGACUGAGACACGGCCCAGACUCCUACGGGAGGCAGCAGUGGGGAAUAUUGCGCAAUGGGCGAAAGCCUGACGCAGCAACGCCGCGUGCGGGAUGAAGGCCUUCGGGUUGUAAACCGCUUUCAGCAGGGAAGAAGCGAAAGUGACGGUACCUGCAGAAAAAGCACCGGCUAACUACGUGCCAGCAGCCGCUGUAA
RNAcentral lists this ribosomal RNA (483 nucleotides) under uncultured bacterium. RNAcentral's name for it is "partial 16S ribosomal RNA". It matches the Rfam family "Bacterial small subunit ribosomal RNA", at positions 28 to 523 of the family's 1533-position model. The record is from RNAcentral.